Molecule: ribosomal RNA, 676 nt
Filed under: Chloroflexota bacterium
Lineage: Bacteria; Bacillati; Chloroflexota
Description: Chloroflexi bacterium (sediment metagenome) partial 23S ribosomal RNA
Rfam family: Bacterial large subunit ribosomal RNA
Source: RNAcentral
GGACCGUGCCAGGUGGGCAGUUUGACUGGGGCGGUCGCCUCCUAAAAGGUAACGGAGGCGCCCAAAGGUUCCCUCAGGCUGAAUGGAAACCAGCCAGAGAGUGUAAAGGCAUAAGGGAGCUUGACUGCAAGACCAACGCGUCGAGCAGAGACGAAAGUCGGGCUUAGUGAUCCCACGGUACCGCGUGGAAGGGCCGUGGCACUCGGAUAAAAGCUACCCCGGGGAUAACAGGCUGGUGAAGCCCAAGAGUUCAUAUCGACGGCUUCGCUCGGCACCUCGAUGUCGGCUCAUCGCAUCCUGGGGCUGGAUAAGGUCCCAAGGGUCGGACUGUUCGUCCGUUAAAGCGAUACGCGAGCUGGGUUCAGACCGUCGUGAGACAGGUCGGUCUCUAUCCGCUGUGGGCGUAAGGGAUUUGAGAGGAGCUGCCCCUAGUACGAGAGGACCGGGGUGGACAGACCUCUGGUGUGCCAGUUGUCGUGCCAACGGCAUCGCUGGGUAGCCAACGUCUGGCAGAGAUAACCGCUGAAAGCAUCUAAGUGGGAAACUCGCCUCAAGAUGAGAUCCCUCAUCCCGUUAAGGGAGUAAGGCCGCAGGAAGACCACCUGCUAUAUAGGCGGCAAGUGUAAGUGCAGCAAUGCAUUCAGCUAAGCCGUACUAAUGGCCGAGGGCUUAGUCA